CGAACGCUGGCGGCGUGCUUAACACAUGCAAGUCGAACGGUAAGGCCCCAGCUUGCUGGGGUACACGAGUGGCGAACGGGUGAGUAACACGUGGGUGACCUGCCCCGCACUUCGGGAUAAGCCUGGGAAACUGGGUCUAAUACCGGAUAGGACCGCACCGUGAGGGUGUGGUGGAAAGUUUUUCGGUGUGGGAUGGGCCCGCGGCCUAUCAGCUUGUUGGUGGGGUAAUGGCCUACCAAGGCGGCGACGGGUAGCCGGCCUGAGAGGGUGGACGGCCACAUUGGGACUGAGACACGGCCCAGACUCCUACGGGAGGCAGCAGUGGGGAAUAUUGCACAAUGGGCGGAAGCCUGAUGCAGCGACGCCGCGUGGGGGAUGACGGCCUUCGGGUUGUAAACUCCUUUCACCAUCGACGAAGGUUUUCUGACGGUAGAUGGAGAAGAAGCACCGGCUAACUAC
Molecule: ribosomal RNA, 459 nt
Filed under: uncultured bacterium
Lineage: Bacteria
Description: bacterial SSU rRNA
Rfam family: Bacterial small subunit ribosomal RNA
Source: RNAcentral